GAGAGGGGGAUGCCUAAGGUAGGACUGGUGACUGGGGUGAAGUCGUAACAAGGUAGCCGUACCGGAAGGUGUGGCUGGAUCACCUCCUUUUUAGGGAGACCUAAUCCACUCAGAAUCUCGAAAGCGAAAAGCGGAAAGUGAAAAGCCGGAAGCGAAAAGCAAAUAGAGAAUGAGAUGGUCUACUCUAGGUCGGUCGCAGAAGUUGAAAAGGCUUUCAAACUAAUAAUUAGGUUCAUAUGGGCUAUUAGCUCAGGUGGUUAGAGCGCACCCCUGAUAAGGGUGAGGUCCCUGGUUCGAGUCCAGGAUGGCCCACCUGAAAACAGUGAACAGUAAACAGUAAAAAGUGGUCAGAAAAAACUGAUAACUGGUAACUGAUAACUAAUAACUGGAUUUUGGGGGUUUAGCUCAGUUGGUAGAGCGCCUGCUUUGCAAGCAGGAUGUCAGCGGUUCGAGUCCGCUAACCUCCACAUGAAAAAGAAAAAAAGGAAAAGCCAGCAACUAGCGAAAGUUAGACUGCUGGGUGAAUCCAGCCAGAACCUUGAAAACUGCAUAGAAACGCGAUAAUAGCAGGCAGACACAGACAUGAAAAUGAAAGUGAAUGCAGGUGAAACACCAAUGAAU
This 621-nucleotide unclassified non-coding RNA is filed under the name Aliinostoc alkaliphilum CENA514. RNAcentral describes it as "partial contains 16S ribosomal RNA and 16S-23S ribosomal RNA intergenic spacer". The stretch from base 1 to 90 matches the Rfam family "Bacterial small subunit ribosomal RNA", at positions 1444 to 1533 of the family's 1533-position model. The record is from RNAcentral. Lineage: Bacteria; Bacillati; Cyanobacteriota; Cyanophyceae; Nostocales; Nodulariaceae.